RNAcentral lists this long non-coding RNA (395 nucleotides) under Nicotiana benthamiana. RNAcentral describes it as "long non-coding RNA (NBEN_LNC014752)". The record is from RNAcentral. Lineage: Eukaryota; Viridiplantae; Streptophyta; Magnoliopsida; Solanales; Solanaceae.
ACAUGGAAAAGGUUGUUUGGAAGCAAAUGGAAAAGACAAACCAGAAAUACAUUUCAUAUUUGCAAAAGGAGUAUGAGCAAGUCUUAAGUGCCAAAUAUAAUUCAUGUCAGAUGUAAGAUCAGUAUUACAGAUGGAAUUAUAUAUAUGUGAAGGCAAUGGAACAGCCUUGUUAUCAGACAAAAUGUCAUCAUGAGAAGAAACAGACAUAGAAGGCAAUGCAACAACCUUGCUAUCAGACAAAGGGUCAUCAUUACAAGAAGCAGAUACAGAACAAAUAGAAGUAGAGGAACAACUAACAGAGGAAGAAGGGGAAGGAGGAACCCAAGCCAGUUUAUAUAAUCUAGUAGCUUCUUUACCAAGAUCCAGAGGCCUCCUCAGAGAAGGGUCCUGUAUCA